This 395-nucleotide ribosomal RNA is filed under the name Bacillus sp. R-32851. Its description in RNAcentral is "bacterial SSU rRNA". It matches the Rfam family "Bacterial small subunit ribosomal RNA", at positions 91 to 483 of the family's 1533-position model. The record is from RNAcentral. Lineage: Bacteria; Bacillati; Bacillota; Bacilli; Caryophanales; Bacillaceae.
GUUAGCGGCGGACGGGUGAGUAACACGUGGGCAACCUGCCUGUAAGACUGGGAUAACACCGGGAAACCGGUGCUAAUACCGGAUAAUCCUUUUCCUCUCAUGAGGAAAAGCUGAAAGUCGGUUUCGGCUGACACUUACAGAUGGGCCCGCGGCGCAUUAGCUAGUUGGUGAGGUAACGGCUCACCAAGGCGACGAUGCGUAGCCGACCUGAGAGGGUGAUCGGCCACACUGGGACUGAGACACGGCCCAGACUCCUACGGGAGGCAGCAGUAGGGAAUCUUCCACAAUGGACGAAAGUCUGAUGGAGCAACGCCGCGUGAGCGAUGAAGGCCUUCGGGUCGUAAAGCUCUGUUGUUAGGGAAGAACAAGUACCGGAGUAACUGCCGGUACCUGAC